GACGAACGCUGGCGGCGUGCUUAACACAUGCCAGUCGAACGGCAAGGCCCUGCUUGUGUGGGGUGCUCGAGUGGCGAACGGGUGCGUAACACGUGAGUAACCUGCCCUUGACUUUGGGAUAACUUCAGGAAACUGGGGCUAAUACCGGAUAGCAGCCCCUGCUGCAUGGUGGGGGUUGGAACGUCUCGGCGGGUGGGGAUGGACUCGCGGCUUAUCAGCUUGCUGGUGGGGUAGUGGCUUACCAAGGCAUUGACGGGUAGCCGGCCUGAGAGGGUGACCGGCCACAUUGGGACUGAGAUACGGCCCAGACUCGUACGGGAGGCAGCAGUGGGGAAUAUUGCACAAUGGGAGGAAGCCGGAGGAAGCAACGCCGGGGGCGGGAUGACGGCCUUCGGGUUGUAAACCGCUUUCGCCUGUGACGAAGCGGGAGUGACGGUAAUGGGUAAAGAAGCACCGGCUAACUACGUG
This 468-nucleotide ribosomal RNA is filed under the name uncultured bacterium. RNAcentral's name for it is "partial 16S ribosomal RNA". It matches the Rfam family "Bacterial small subunit ribosomal RNA", at positions 28 to 507 of the family's 1533-position model. The record is from RNAcentral.